AUUGAACGCUGGCGGCAGGCCUAACACAUGCAAGUCGAGCGGAUGAAGGGAGCUUGUUCCUGGAUUCAGCGGCGGACGGGUGCGUAAUGCCUAGGAAUCUGCCUGGUAGUGGGGGAUAACGUCCGGCAACGGGCGCUAAUACCGCAUACGUCCUGAGGGAGAAAGUGGGGGAUCUUCGGACCUCCCGCUAUCAGAUGAGCCUAGGUCGGAUUAGCUAGUUGGUGGGGUAAAGGCCUACCAAGGCGACGAUCCGUAACUGGUCUGAGAGGAUGAUCAGUCACACUGGAACUGAGACACGGUCCAGACUCCUACGGGAGGCAGCAGUGGGGAAUAUUGGACAAUGGGCGAAAGCCUGAUCCAGCCAUGCCGCGUGUGUGAAGAAGGUCUUCGGAUUGUAAAGCACUUUAAGUUGGGAGGAAGGGCAGUAAGUUAAUACCUUGCUGUUUUGACGUUACCAACAGAAUAAGCACCGGCUAACUUCGUG
This 484-nucleotide ribosomal RNA is filed under the name uncultured bacterium. RNAcentral's name for it is "partial 16S ribosomal RNA". It matches the Rfam family "Bacterial small subunit ribosomal RNA", at positions 30 to 507 of the family's 1533-position model. The record is from RNAcentral.